This 396-nucleotide ribosomal RNA is filed under the name uncultured bacterium. Its description in RNAcentral is "partial 16S ribosomal RNA". It matches the Rfam family "Bacterial small subunit ribosomal RNA", at positions 523 to 918 of the family's 1533-position model. The record is from RNAcentral.
CUACAGAGGGUGCAAGCGUUAAUCGGAUUUACUGGGCGUAAAGCGCGCGUAGGUGGCUAAUUAAGUCAAAUGUGAAAUCCCCGAGCUUAACUUGGGAAUUGCAUUCGAUACUGGUUAGCUAGAGUAUGGGAGAGGAUGGUAGAAUUCCAGGUGUAGCGGUGAAAUGCGUAGAGAUCUGGAGGAAUACCGAUGGCGAAGGCAGCCAUCUGGCCUAAAACUGACACUGAGGUGCGAAAGCAUGGGGAGAAAACAGGAUUAGAUACCCUGGUAGUCCAUGCCGUAAACGAUGUCUACUAGCCGUUGGGGCCCUUGAGGCUUUAGUGGCGCAGCUAACGCGAUAAGUAGACCGCCUGGGGAGUACGGUCGCAAGACUAAAACUCAAAUGAAUUGACGGGG